CAGCAGUUAGAGUGAUGAGAGCCUUAUUCGGAGUGACUCAUGUGCUCGUUUUGUUGUUUGCAUUAGCAGAAGGACCACAGCCAUCGCCCGUCUCCCAUCUCCAAAAUGGCGGAGGCAGCUUCAACCUCACCUCUCGCGAUGAGUUCGUCCUACUGUCUCUGAUUAGCCCUGAGGUCAGAGGAGAACCCAAGCUGUCCUACUCCAGUAUGUUCCAAAAGUCUUCCAAAGGAUCCCAGUUUCUCCCCAUGUAGGAGUCCUAGGAGUCUAAUACCAGUUCGGUCACUUAUCUGUGCAUGGCUUCAGACAAAAAAAAGCCGUUUCAUCUACGUCAGGGAUUUCAUCUAUGAAAAGGAAGGCCUCUCACCGCUGUGGCCUCUUCCGUUGCAGAGCACAGGCUCCGGAUGCA
Delphinapterus leucas (beluga whale) is the source of this 406-nucleotide long non-coding RNA. RefSeq lists it as uncharacterized. Lineage: Eukaryota; Metazoa; Chordata; Mammalia; Artiodactyla; Monodontidae. The record is from RefSeq and is a predicted model, not a curated record.